GAGUUUAAUGCUCGUACUGCGUCUAGAGAUUAGAGGUUCCCUUCGGGGACAGAAUGACAGGUGGUGCAUGGUUGUCGUCAGCUCGUGUCGUGAGAUGUUGGGUUAAGUCCCGCAACGAGCGCAACCCUUAUUACUAGUUGCCAGCAUUAAGUUGGGCACUCUAGUGAGACUGCCGGUGACAAACCGGAGGAAGGUGGGGACGACGUCAAAUCAUCAUGCCCCUUAUGACCUGGGCUACACACGUGCUACAAUGGAUGGUACAACGAGUCGCGAGACCGCGAGGUUAAGCUAAUCUCUUAAAACCAUUCUCAGUUCGGACUGUAGGCUGCAACUCGCCUACACGAAGUCGGAAUCGCUAGUAAUCGCGGAUCAGCAUGCCGCGGUGAAUACGUUCCCGGGUCUUGUACACACCGA
This 414-nucleotide ribosomal RNA is filed under the name Pediococcus pentosaceus. RNAcentral describes it as "bacterial SSU rRNA". It matches the Rfam family "Bacterial small subunit ribosomal RNA", at positions 976 to 1393 of the family's 1533-position model. The record is from RNAcentral. Lineage: Bacteria; Bacillati; Bacillota; Bacilli; Lactobacillales; Lactobacillaceae. RNAcentral also lists the same sequence under 1 other name.